UGCGUGGAAUACUAAGGUUGUAAACCUUUUACAGAGUUCAUACUCACCAAC
This 51-nucleotide transfer RNA is filed under the name Celleporella hyalina. RNAcentral's name for it is "tRNA-Tyr". Lineage: Eukaryota; Metazoa; Bryozoa; Gymnolaemata; Cheilostomatida; Hippothoidae. The record is from RNAcentral.